Molecule: long non-coding RNA, 1338 nt
Filed under: Phoenix dactylifera (date palm)
Lineage: Eukaryota; Viridiplantae; Streptophyta; Magnoliopsida; Arecales; Arecaceae
Description: long non-coding RNA (PDAC_LNC012808)
Source: RNAcentral
AUCAUCAUUUUUCAAAUACUUUAUGUGCAAUGAUAUAGAAUUGGAAAAUAUAAAUGUACAUAUUUUUGCAUAUAUAAGGCAAAGGAAUGCUACAUAAAUAAAGAGGCCAAUAUGCAUUUUAGUGCAUAUCCUUUUUAUUAUUAUUAUUUUCUUUUAAAUUCUUAGGCAAAAGGCACAAAGCCCCCAAGUACAUUUUUUCCGACCUCACUCCUACGGCAUCAACCACUACGAAUUGAUUGAUCCUUCUUGGUAGAUCUUGACUCCCAAAAAUUAAUGCCUAACACCGCAUUGGGCUCUUGACACACACACACACACACACAGAGAGAGCAAUGCUAGUAUCUACAGACGCACACAACGUUGUUAGGAUUGUAUCACUUCUCGUUCCAAUUUUAGAAAUCCGAUCCGUUUAGUUUAGGUUUGGAUCAAAGGGAUCAGAAAAGUAUGAGUUGAGAAAGAUGUUGUGAUAUGUAUCUUAGAUUUGUGUUGAGUUUAUUGUUUAAGUUGAGGAGAGAAGUGGAAAGGAAGAAAAGGGAUGAUGUCGAGCUUGAAGAGGGAUUUGAAAAUAUGAUUAUUGAUAGAGAAAGCCUUGGAUCAAGCAUAUAAGAGACUAUACCCGCACUUCUAUCUGGAAGUAUAUAGGCAAUUAUCUGGAUCCAUUUUGGAUGGUCUUGUUUUUAAUCUCUUCUUGAUCUCCUUAAUUUCGCACACCCACAUCCUAGCCGCAACAUGCCAAGAUGUAAGUUAAAAUCUUUAUGUGGCUUGCUUUAAAGCUGAAUACAAGAGAAAUUCUAUCAAGAAAAGGUUGGAGCCAAGGAUCCAAUUGUAUCCCCUUGGGGAUCCAUUAUUCUCAACCGUGCCCUUGAGACAAGGACUGCACCAUUUUGUCAAGGAUGUGAAGGAAAUACUUGAAAGAACUUUACCAAGGACCUUUUAUUACCCUCCUCCCAUUUUACCUCGAUAUCCUCGCCAAAUUAAAGGUUCAAAUUCAAUCAAAUCCAAUUACAAAUGCCACGAUUAGCAUGUGGUUACUCCACCCAAGCUGUGAUAUGUCCUAGUCUACAUAGAUCAUGAGGCAAAUAUGCUCUGAUACCAUUUCUAACGAUGCAGAAGCUUACCUAAAAAGGUUAGCUCAAAGUUGUUAUUUGGAUUUAUUAACUUUGUAUGAGUAUCCAGAUCUUCCUAUUGCAUACUAGAUGUGGGGCUAAAAAUAAGCUUGCACAUGUCCUCCAAUACUCGGUGUAAAUGAACUCGAACCAUGCAAUAGAAUGAACCUUAGGAAGCUUUGGCAACAAUAUAGAAGACAGCCUCAGCUGAAAGCUUUUCUUAUUUUCUUUUUGU